RNAcentral lists this long non-coding RNA (483 nucleotides) under Elaeis guineensis (African oil palm). RNAcentral describes it as "long non-coding RNA (EGUI_LNC012058)". Lineage: Eukaryota; Viridiplantae; Streptophyta; Magnoliopsida; Arecales; Arecaceae. The record is from RNAcentral.
GACUCCAUCUUUGGAAAAAUAAAAAAUCCCUUUCUAGAGUUAUCAAUUUUGAGUUUUCUACUAAGAAUUUCUUGGAUUUUUGUUGAAAGAUUUUGCCUGAUCAUUGUUGACACCUUGUCAGAGAUUACGUAAAGACCACUCCUCCUUUGUCUCCUCUCUUUUCUAGCUUUUAAGCCAUUUUUUAUUGCUUAGAUUUAAGUUAGCAAGUUGCUGCAAUCGUAUUUAAGUAGAGGCAACACUAUUGCAACCUUCCUGGUUUACUACCAUUUUGGCAAUGAAGAGCUUACCAACGGUGAAGGAGAGGUUGCUGAACCUUCCUUAUUUCUUCUUCCUAGUCUUUAGGCCACUGCCAACACUUUGAUUUGGUCCGAACUAUCGGAAAACUUGAACAAGGACUCCCCCAUUCUUUGUUCUCUUUCCCUUAUUUUCCUUCACCAUCACCAUCGGUUAUAGUUUGCUAGCCCAGCCAUUUGCUGCCAUGGU